AACAUCUCUGGAAUUCCUUUUUCAUAAGGCAUUAGUGGACACAUCACAGUUCAUGGGAGACAGUAAGCUGAAUUUGGAGAGCCAGAAAUCUAAGUUGGCUGCUUCUGUGGUAUUCCUACAUCUUCCCUCUGAUGACUGUAAAGAGAACAUGGUGCUUUGGAUUCCUGAUGUUCAGCUACUUAUAAGGAUCGUCCAGAGAUGAUACGUCUAGACUGUUUCUGUCUUACAUGGGUUCAGACAGUGAUCUUUGGUCAUCACUUGCUUUGUGUGGAGGAGUGUGACAAAAAGAUAUUCAAGAUGUAUCAACUAACUUCUGAGUUUCCAUCAACAUUCAUUGAAGCAGCUUCAGAGACUGAUAUACCUCAGAGAGAAAAAUAUAUUAAGUAUUCUCUCAAAACAAUGACAUUUAUGUUUCAGCAGAGCAUUAGGGACUCAGUUUAGGGACCAAGCCCAUUCCUACUGAAGUCAGUGAGAUAGCCCUAUUAAUUUCCUUGCAGAAAUACCAGGCUCUAACACUGAACAGAGCUGAAUCAAAGACGUUACCUUUCAUAGUAACACACAAGGAAGAUGUGGAAUGAAUGUUCUGUUCCUUAUGCUCAGAUUUGCCUAAUUUUUAUAUAUAAGUCUAUAUAAGUCUUCUCUAAGUUUAAGGGUAUUUUUAAUUCUCUCUGUCUCUCUCUCUCUUUUUUUUUUUUUUAACCAUACACAGUUAUCCAACUUGUCUGAUUCUGAUUUCAGAUUGAUUAAAAAGACAAAACUAGAAUCUGUCUGAAAGAGCAGUUAUACAGUUGUAGUAAGUGAAUAUAAAAGAGAUGAUAUGUAAGUACUAAAAGUUAUUCUGUCUCACAGGGUUAUCCAUAAUGCUGUAUUGCCAAUUAUUUCAAAGGCUGUUGAUAUAGAUAGGUAUCAAAUACUGCUUUAGCCCGUUUUAUAUAGGGUACCAAAUAGCCUUCAUAAAAUGAGUUAAGAUAGUGACACAUACAGGCUGAAUUUGAAUCUCAAGCUUCUGGACAAAAACAAACAAACAAAAAAUGCACAAACCUCAACCUCCCUCUUCUGCUCUGUUUCAUCUGUUUUGUCUCUUAUAUUAUUGCUAGACGUUAUCCUUUAUAAACAUGUCUGAGGCUACCAGGCAAUAACAUUAUUUUUUUUUGACAACACCUUGUCAAAUACUUUUUAUUGAGAGUCUUGUCAGGUUAACAUCACUUCUACAAGCCUAUGGUGUUGAUAUAAGAAGUCUCUUCAAGUCUCAAUUUUCAUAUGCUGUGCUCAGAAUCACUAAUUCUUAUGACUCAGAGAAAGAGCUACAGAUGCAUAUGACCACUAAAUAGUUCCACUAGCUCUAAGACCAUAAUAUUUCAAAGGGAGAACCUGAAAAAACGCUGGAUAUGGUGGAACAGUACUCAAUUGGUUUAAUAUCUUCAGAUAUUUUUAAGGCACU
RNAcentral lists this long non-coding RNA (1441 nucleotides) under Anas platyrhynchos platyrhynchos (common mallard). RNAcentral's name for it is "lncRNA (ENSAPLG00000021954.1)". The record is from RNAcentral. Lineage: Eukaryota; Metazoa; Chordata; Aves; Anseriformes; Anatidae.